UACGUAGGCUGCAAGCGUUGUCCGGAAUUAUUGGGCGUAAAGCGCGCGCAGGCGGUCCUUUAAGUCUGAUGUUAAAGCCCACGGCUCAACCGUGGAGGGUCAUUGGAAACUGGAGGACUUGAGUGCCGAAGAGGAAAGUGGAAUUCCAUGUGUAGCGGUGAAAUGCGUAGAGAUGCGGAGGAACACCAGUGGCGAAGGCGACUUUCUGGUCUGUAACUGACGCUGAGGCGCGAAAGCAUGGGGAGCAAACAGG
Molecule: unclassified non-coding RNA, 253 nt
Filed under: uncultured Caryophanaceae bacterium
Lineage: Bacteria; Bacillati; Bacillota; Bacilli; Caryophanales; Caryophanaceae
Description: uncultured Planococcaceae bacterium contains 16S-23S intergenic spacer region
Rfam family: Bacterial small subunit ribosomal RNA
Source: RNAcentral